AAAGCCCUCUCCCAACGCUCCGACGUCCCUUUUCCCAGCCGCCGUGCAGGUGUAGCUUCGUGCGCCGCUGUCUCAGACCUGCUGCAAGUCACGCGCAUUCUUCCACUUACCCUACCGUAGCUUGGCCGCCACCGGCCCCUCACUCGCCCGGGCUGCCUCCCGAGGCUGAGGGAUGUUGAGCGCGGCUCUCAGUUGCCGGGCCUCCCGACCUGCUGGGACCGAGGUCCAGAAGGCCUGGUCGGCCGCAUGCGCGAUGAGAGGAGCCGGACCCCGAGAGGGCCGCGCCUGCUCCCGCCUCGGCCCGCGCUGUGACGGAUGUGCCAGAUGAAGAUUCCAGGAGGACUCUGAGGUUGAGCUUUCUGGUGAGGAUUCUGUGGUCAUGACUGUGCUGGAACACAACCAUCUCAGGACCCGGUAGCUUGCCCCCAAGUGUCCUGGCAGUAUCUGCUACUGAAGAAUCUGAAGUUACCAGGUUGUUGCUGUGCUUUAGAUAAGAUCUGUUACCAGUAAAGCUGUCCUUAUCUGUGAUUAUGGAUCUAUAGUUGGGAGACAGACCUUGUGGGAAGAGGCAAGCUAAAAGACAACAGGUUAUUUUCAGUGGAAAACCAUGACCUCUGUAUUUCUGCUAAUGCUGGCAUGUGGUAUGUAAGUGACCAAUAAAAGACUUAAA
Molecule: long non-coding RNA, 670 nt
Organism: Leopardus geoffroyi (Geoffroy's cat)
Lineage: Eukaryota; Metazoa; Chordata; Mammalia; Carnivora; Felidae
Exons: 5
Source: RefSeq, a predicted model, not a curated record